ACGAACGCUGGCGGCGUGCUUAACCCAUGCCAGUCGAACGGAAAGGCCCUGCUUUUGUGGGGUGCUCGAGUGGCGAACGGGUGAGUAACACGUGAGUAACCUGCCCUUGACUUUGGGAUAACUUCAGGAAACUGGGGCUAAUACCGGAUAGGAGCUCCUGCUGCAUGGUGGGGGUUGGAAAGUUUCGGCGGUUGGGGAUGGACUCGCGGCUUAUCAGCUUGUUGGUGGGGUAGUGGCUUACCAAGGCUUUGACGGGUAGCCGGCCUGAGAGGGUGACCGGCCACAUUGGGACUGAGAUACGGCCCAGACUCCUACGGGAGGCAGCAGUGGGGAAUAUUGCACAAUGGGCGGAAGCCUGAUGCAGCAACGCCGCGUGCGGGAUGACGGCCUUCGGGUUGUAAACCGCUUUCGCCUGUGACGAAGCGUGAGUGACGGUAAUGGGUAAAGAAGCACCGGCUAACUACG
Molecule: ribosomal RNA, 465 nt
Filed under: uncultured bacterium
Lineage: Bacteria
Description: partial 16S ribosomal RNA
Rfam family: Bacterial small subunit ribosomal RNA
Source: RNAcentral